AACGUGAGCGUCCCGCCUGUCGCGUGUCCUGCCUUGGUAAGCGCUCUCUCCGGUCCUUCCACACUGAAAGCUUCCAGCAGAGAUCAAGGGAAGGAGUAUUGUGUGAGACUUGCCUAUUUCCUCCUUUCUGUCUGGACUGGUUUGAUAUUUGCCUGUUGAAAAGAUUACUGAACGCAGUGUGACAAGAUGAGCCGUCUAGCUGCGUUCUGCUUGCCUGUGUGUGUGACACGUCCAGGUGUGAGGCCAAACCUGAGAAGUGCAGACUGCUCACUGAUAGACGUUGCUGUAAACAGCAGUGCCCUGGGUGUACAGCUGGUCUCAGGAUCGGAGACCCCGGACUUAUUCUCUGCUCGGUGACACGGCCGGCUUCCUGCCGCAGAGCUCCUGGUUUCUGUUGAUGGCAGUUGAUAAUUGGUAGCCACCGUCUGCGGUCGGAGCCACAGCAUUUGAGUCUAGCACCUGGGGUGGGCCCUGCUGAUACAGUAGAGAGAGAGUGAACGAGGCAGACAGAAACACACCCCCCUCUUCCACGCUCACACACUCUCCCACACCCCAUGCCAGCUAUAACUGCAGCUCUGAGCUGCCUGGAGAGGAGUUUGCCGGAAGCUGAAGGGAUGCUUUGAACGUGGGGGGGCUGCGUCACAGUUGGACUCCCACUUGCAGAGGACCUGAUUAUGUCCAGUGACCACCUGAACAACAGCACACUGAAGGAGGCUCAGUUCAAAGACCUGUUCUUAAAAAAAGGUACAUUUCCCAAGAACUGCUAUGGAUGAUGCAUGCUCUUUCAGGUUUGCUGUGGUUCUUCUUGGAGUUUGGUCUGAGGACAGAGUUGAGAAGAGGAGAAGCUCUUUCUCAAGAAGUUUCUUUCUACCUAAGAGGGGUCUGUCAACUGAGAACAUUUCCGGGUGGGACUCCCUUUAGGAAGAUGCAUGUCAGGCUUUUUCAUCUUCUUUCAAGCCUGGAAUUAGUUUGUUCCUGUUGGAGGUAUUAUGCAUGAGUACACAGUUUGUUGCUUUGGAGUUUUGUUUUUUUCAAAUGUCUGUAUAUGAGGCUGAGACCUCCCCUGGAAAUGCUGCUACUUGUUAAUAGUUCCUUUUUCUUCACCCUCAUGAGCUGAAAACUGCAUUUUAAAGAAAAGGUAUUUCUCAGGAUGUGGCUGGUUCAUUGAACACUUUCUUAGGUCAUCCGUGUAGUGACAGGAGCUAUUAGGAAGGAGAACUGUGACUCUGAGAGAUGGGAGAGCCAAAGAAAGUGAGAGACAGACAGACUGGCUGUGGGAUGAGAGCCUCAGAAGCCACCACUCUCCCCUGUGGAAAUGAAGGUUCCAUUCCAUGUGCAGCUGUGUUUUUUUUCUGAUGCACUUUCCUAAAUUAAUAAUGUGGAGGUGGAGGUGAGGGUGGAUUUUAAAUGAAUCCUAUAGGGGGAAUUAUGGCUUAUGUAUGUAUUUUUUUCCAUUUAUAGCAUGGCAGAGGGAUAGACUUUUAAAAGGUUUAUAAUUGCUCUUACUCCUCUGCUGAUUUUUUAGAAAAUCCUGUCAGUCAUCUUUGAUCAGAACAUAUUUAGGUAAAUUUCUUUCUGAAGAGAUCAUGAAACUCUAGAUUCUAAAAUGCGUGGUGAGAAGUAAUUGUAGUGGAUGAAGACUUGGGCUUUCAUAAAGUGAGGAGAUGCCACUCCAGCCGGACAGGCUCAUGGAGUCUGCAUUCGAGGGAUUCCCUAGUCCGUCCAGUCAUCACGGGCUGCUGCCCACCUGCCUGUGCCGUCCGAGGCACCUGGCCUUGGGCCGGUAUCAGGUAGCCGUGCCUGGGCCACACCUGCCCUCCACGUUCAUCUCUCCACCUACAGAUCAUUGGGACCAUUUCCUCAUUUUAUUAUCAUGUAAAUGUUGUACAUAAAUACAUGGCUAUAAACAGGCAGCUCAGAGUAACCAGGAGGCUCUUUUCUCAGUGACAGAUCACACCCUCUUAGAGUAGUAAUUUUUGAAUAAUUAUUGCAAAAUAUGAAAACCUUCAGCAAAACUCCAGCACCACUGAAGUCGUCAGGAAGUGUUUGGGAGAAUACGUGUCUGUGCUGGAUGCUGUUGAAGCAGGUCAGGUCGUUGGGGUCCCUUCCUUCUUAGGGCUUCUCCACCAGCUUCUAAAUAGGGAAUGCCAACUUUGUGCCAGGCACACACUACCUGCUGAGACACUGUGGAUGAACAAGGCGUUGACCCAGGGCUCACUCUGUGGAGGAAGAAGACUGGAGAAUGGGUACCACCAAGACAGUGAUAAGUGCUGGAACAGGGUUCAGAGCUGCACAGGAAGUCCCCAAAGGUAGUGAACCCAUCAUCGGGGCUUAGGAAAGAGCUUUUAAAGGAAGAUAAAGCCAGCAGGUGACACCAAAACCUGGGUAUUUCUGUAGGGUAGCUUUUUUCCCUUUCGUUCUACUUGUUGUACUAUACAGUAGAGUAGCCAACCCACCUCCAAGGAAAAUAAAAUUCAAAAUAUAUAAUGUAAUCAGUAUGAUGAUAGCUCUUAUUGUUUUGCUUCUGUACUUCAAGCUGUGAAGUCAUUCUUGUAACACAGGCUGAAUUUUCCCCCUCAACCAUGGUGUUUAAUGAGUGUGAAUCUUCAUUCAACCAUUAAAAUCUCCAAGAGUAUUUUUAUACUAACAGUUCACAAACUUGAGGCAAUUAUAGUCUAAGUAGAUUCCAACUCCUGCCCCCACCCGUCUUCCUGCCACCACCGCCGCCCGGUCUCUGGAGGAUCUUGGAAAGAAUUUACCAGCCUUUAGGAACAUUCAGCACUUUAAAAGUGUCACAGAGCCAUAAAUAAAGAGUAAGACACCCCUAAGACUGUCAUCUCAUCACCACACCCGUCUCUGCUGAGGAGGACAGAGACAGGAAGGAAAUGCGACAAGUUCACUGUGCAGUAGCCAAGCAGGCCCAGCCACAUGUGGGAGGGUGGGACAGGAGAGCGUGCAGGGGAAGGGGCUGCCUGGAGGUAAGGCUCUGUGGCCAGCCAGCCCCGGGUUUGGUGCUCCAGGAGAGGCCAGCACGUAGGGGAGUGAGGUGGGGUGCUGCUGUUGGUAGGGUAGGAAGUGACCACACAGGGUGGGGCCAGGGCUUCGUGGCCAGUGGGCGGCUGUUUCUGUGACAUUGCAAUGUUCUGCGUGGAACGUUUUCUGGAUUCCUGCCAAGGUGUUUACUUGGCCUGGGGAAAGAGAGGAACGCAUGAGGGGCCCAGACCUUGCCCCCUGCCCCAUGAUAGGGUCUCUGAGGGCGUACAUUACACAUCUGGAGCUUAAAAAGAAUUAAACUGUAGAAAUAGGACUUCAGUGAAGGAUAAUAUAUUAGUGGAGGAAAGACCAAAUGGAAGAUGGUGUUAACCAUCCCACAAAUAGAAAUGAGUGUUAUAUUAGGAGCCUAAGGUGGGACAACCGCACUUCCCCAGAGCUCUUUAAAAAUAGCGCAGACACUCAUGCCUCUAGUAUGAUUCAGUUCAGCUCCUCAUUGAACCAGGGAAGAGACCGACAGACUUCACACCACUUCUGUUCCUGUAAUUCUCCACUGUGCAGCUUGGGAUUUCCUGGAGAUGUUUCCAUAAAAAUAGAGAGAUGCCAUCAUCACUGUCGUCACUGUCACUGCUGUACAAUAAUAAAAGAAGGUGCUAGGAUGCCUUCCUGUAAGUUUUAGACUAGAUGUAUUAAAAAGUAUCCGGUA
This 3697-nucleotide small RNA is filed under the name Pongo abelii (Sumatran orangutan). RNAcentral's name for it is "processed transcript". Lineage: Eukaryota; Metazoa; Chordata; Mammalia; Primates; Hominidae. The record is from RNAcentral.